GUAUAUAAUGAUGAGAGAGAUCCCAAAAAUCUUUUAAUUUUCUCUUUUGUUUUUUCCGUCAGUCAAGGAAACGUGUGAGAGAGAGAGUUUUUUUUAUUUUUCUUUUUUGUCCUUUUUGACUCAGAGAGAGACGUUGGAGUGUGAGAGAGUUUCUCUUUCUCUCUUUUCUGACCAUUGGCGUGUCCAAUAAAAGAAGUGAUAUUUUUU
RNAcentral lists this long non-coding RNA (207 nucleotides) under Lathyrus oleraceus (garden pea). Its description in RNAcentral is "Pisum sativum (pea) long non-coding RNA (PSAT_LNC014731)". Lineage: Eukaryota; Viridiplantae; Streptophyta; Magnoliopsida; Fabales; Fabaceae. The record is from RNAcentral.